Molecule: long non-coding RNA, 2727 nt
Filed under: Volvox carteri
Lineage: Eukaryota; Viridiplantae; Chlorophyta; Chlorophyceae; Chlamydomonadales; Volvocaceae
Description: long non-coding RNA (VCAR_LNC002299)
Source: RNAcentral
GGAGGUAUUCGAAUUGCGCUGUGGAGCCUCGGAAUUGGGCUGUGCUGCGCCUGAAUUGGCCUGUCCGGGUGUCGAAUUGGCCUGUCCGGGUGCCGAAUUGGCCUAACAGGGUAUUGAAUUAGCCUGACAGGGUAUCGAAUUGACCUGUUCGGGGUGUCAAAUUGGCCUGACAGGGUAUCGAAUUAGCCUGACAGGGUGUCGAAUUGGCUGUCAAGUUGGCAGGAUUGGCCGGGGCUGGCAUCCAAAAGCACAUGACUUUUAAGGAAUUUACAGAAAAACUUUGCAAGAGGACCGCUUACAAGUGCCUCAUGUGUGUAUUAGAUUCGAUCCCACGACAUGGAGUGGAAAAACUUGCACACCUGGUUACCGUACUCUGGCACUACUACUACUACCGGAGGCAAGCACUCAGGGCCACGACUGCAUUACCCAGUCAAGUCAGCUGCCGAGGUCCCACUGUUUUCCCACCACACUUUAUCGACAGUCCGUCCAGUUUAUCCCACAACACUCGUAUGCAUGAAUAGGUUCGGGUGGAAACAAUGACAAAUCUCUGAUAAACCGCUAAACUCAGUACCACGAGCUACAUUGAAAACAAAUGAAAAUGCAGAUGUCUGCCGAGAAGAAUAUGUUCGCCAUAUGCAAUCUAUGCCUUAAUCCAUCGAGCUCUCCGUUGGGCGGGGCAUGGCCCAUGAAGUCGCCCCCGGUACUCCGCCCAUACAACCAAACACUGACACAAAACGUUGCACGUCUGGGCCCAUGUAAACCACGACACUUCCGUGUGGAUUGGCUACCCGCCAAACGUUGGCGCAGAAAACAGACAGGCCAUUGUAGUAUGGCAUCAAACCACGCAUAACCCACAGCGGCUUUCAGCAGCAGUACUGCUUGGUGAAUGUGACCAGCCGUGUACUCUGUUGCGCAUCUCUGGAAAAACAGGCUCUGAUAGCUUGCACCACCCUGCACCCCAAAAGGCGGGUUGACAAACACAUUGCCCAUCCACGCGUUGCACUCCAACAGACCAUCGGAUUCCAUAUCGUAAUACACUGUCGCCCCAACACGUGUGUUAGCAGCCGCGGACAAGCAUGGGUCCAGGUCGAUCCUGCCAGGAGUGAACACCUCGCGCACCAGCUUUAUGAUACUCAGUGGGGUGAACCACUCCGGACUCUCACUGGAGAGAAACAGGCGCACAUUCCCACCCCCUCCGCUUCGAACCAUAUGGACUCCCUCACCAGACUCGCUAUCGCUGAUAUCCAUGUCGCCACGUCGGGGCUGACGAUGCGCUGUGCCUCCGGAUCCAUGUUGGGACCAACGGUGCGCGCUCCAGGUGCAGGAGUGGGUGAAGUGCGCGGUAAGAUGCGGCGCCCACUGUCUACGGCAUUGGGCUGCUGCUCUCGCCGACGUGUGCGCCUGUGCUGAAACUGGCUGUAGAGGCGCUGAUACUCAUCCUCUGCCGCCUCGUCCGACAUGCCAUAUAGAUGCAUGCGCAUGUCAGGUGGCCAGGCACAGCUGACGUCUCGCACUCCAGGUGGUGGCAUGGGCCGCGCGACAAGGCCACCCUGCUGGGUGAGCCGCUGUGUCUCUUGCUUGCACGCCAUCAUGUGCUGGCGUGUUUUGACGUGGUUGAUAAUAUUCUCGAUGUUGCCAGUCUUAGCACCGANNNNNNNNNNNNNNNNNNNNNNNNNNNNNNNNNNNNNNNNNNNNNNNNNNCGAAUUGGCUGUCAGUUGGCAGGAUUGGCCGGGGCUGGCAUCCAAAAGCACAUGACUUUUAAGGAAUUUACAGAAAAACUUUGCAAGAGGACCGCUUACAAGUGCCUCAUGUGUGUAUUAGAUUCGAUCCCACGACAUGGAGUGGAAAAACUUGCACACCUGGUUACCGUACUCUGGCACUACUACUACUACCGGAGGCAAGCACUCAGGGCCACGACUGCAUUACCCAGUCAAGUCAGCUGCCGAGGUCCCACUGUUUUCCCACCACACUUUAUCGACAGUCCGUCCAGUUUAUCCCACAACACUCGUAUGCAUGAAUAGGUUCGGGUGGAAACAAUGACAAAUCUCUGAUAAACCGCUAAACUCAGUACCACGAGCUACAUUGAAAACAAAUGAAAAUGCAGAUGUCUGCCGAGAAGAAUAUGUUCGCCAUAUGCAAUCUAUGCCUUAAUCCAUCGAGCUCUCCGUUGGGCGGGGCAUGGCCCAUGAAGUCGCCCCCGGUACUCCGCCCAUACAACCAAACACUGACACAAAACGUUGCACGUCUGGGCCCAUGUAAACCACGACACUUCCGUGUGGAUUGGCUACCCGCCAAACGUUGGCGCAGAAAACAGACAGGCCAUUGUAGUAUGGCAUCAAACCACGCAUAACCCACAGCGGCUUUCAGCAGCAGUACUGCUUGGUGAAUGUGACCAGCCGUGUACUCUGUUGCGCAUCUCUGGAAAAACAGGCUCUGAUAGCUUGCACCACCCUGCACCCCAAAAGGCGGGUUGACAAACACAUUGCCCAUCCACGCGUUGCACUCCAACAGACCAUCGGAUUCCAUAUCGUAAUACACUGUCGCCCCAACACGUGUGUUAGCAGCCGCGGACAAGCAUGGGUCCAGGUCGAUCCUGCCAGGAGUGAACACCUCGCGCACCAGCUUUAUGAUACUCAGUGGGGUGAACCACUCCGGACUCUCACUGGAGAGAAACAGGCGCACAUUCCCACCCCCUCCGCUUCGAACCAUAUGGACUCCCUCACCAG